GGGGAUUUAGAACUGACCUAUUGCGGGAUUACUCAGGUCGCCAGAGUAGAAAGCCUAAAACAGUUUCUGGAAAAUUCUCCAUUGUGCUCUUUAUUGUCGUGCGUCUGACCUAUCAGAGACCGUUUUCAGCCUAUGAUAAGCUCCAAGAUGAAUUUAGGAGGCAAAUUCAUUGCAGAUGGUGAAGAUUCAAGAGACUGAUCAAUGAUAAAGACUUUCUCUCAUUCAUCCCAUUCAUUCAUCCCAUUCAUUCACCCUAUUCAUUCAUUCACUCAUUCAUUUAUUCAUUCAUUUACUGUCAGCAUCUUGUAGUGCCAGCCACAUUUCUCCUUAAAUAGGCAUUUUGGGCUUGAUCCUUCCUUUUAAUGUAAAUCCCAAUCCUGUUAAACUAUCUUAGACUAGAUUUAGUCUGUUUUAAAAUUAAUUUAUUUCUACCAUCUGCUUUCUGUAUUUCCAAAUUAGAGCCUCGCACCCCUUCUUACUGGGACUCCUUUCUUGGGAGCUAACUUGCUGAUGUGUGGAGGGUGCUAGAACCGUAUACUGUAUGUCAGAUACCUUGGAUGGAGCUGAAAGGAAUACAUGGGCAAUAGAUUUAGUCUUGCAUCCUUUCCUAGUGAAGGUGAGUUCAAAGUAGGAUUCAAAGUUAAAGUAUCUGGAGUUCCCAUUGUGGCUCAGUGGUUAACGAAUCCGACUAGGAACUGUGAGGUUGCGGGUUCAAUCCCUGGCCUCGCUCAGUGGGUUAAGGAUCCGGCGCUGCUGUGGCUCUGGCAUAGGCUGGCAGCUACAGCUCCCAUUAGACCCAUAGCCUGGGAACCUCUGCAUGCCGCCGGAGCGGCCCUAGAAAUGGCAAAAAGACAACAAAAAACAAAGUUAAAAUAUCUGAAAAAUACAUAAAAGUAGGAAAUGCUACUCAGAAUUCCACCUCGUUUUUGGUAUUAUAUAAAGAAGUGAAAUAAGCCAGACUCUCUAUACAUCCUUCUAAUUCAUCCUUAUAUUCAUACCUGUAUCUUAAAAUACUACGUAUUAUUGUAGGGAAUAGAAAAGGAAGCAAGCAAUUCCCUUGUAGCACAGUGGGUUAAGGAUCCAGUAUUGUCAUUGCAGCAGCUUGGGUUGCUGCUGUGGGGCAGGUUCGAUCCCUGGCCCAGGAACUUCCACAUGCUGUAGGCUUGGGAAAAAAGAAAAAAAAAAGAAGCAUGCUAGAUAUUCAUAACUAUCAAAAGGAGACCAGUUGAGUAAGUUUGAGUAUAUUCAUACUGUGAACUAUUAUGUAACUCUUAUUAAAAGAGGUGGUAUUAUACAAGCUACUAUACAUAAAAUAGAUAAGCAAUCAGGAUUUCCUGCAUAACAUAGGGAACAAGAGUCAAUAUCUUGUACUAACCUGUAAUGGAAAGUAAUCUGAAAAAUAUAUAAAACUGAAUCACUUUGCUAUAUAUCUGAAACUCACACAAUACUGUGUUACCU
Molecule: long non-coding RNA, 1458 nt
Filed under: Sus scrofa (pig)
Lineage: Eukaryota; Metazoa; Chordata; Mammalia; Artiodactyla; Suidae
Description: lncRNA (ENSSSCG00005004178.1)
Source: RNAcentral